RNAcentral lists this ribosomal RNA (445 nucleotides) under uncultured bacterium. Its description in RNAcentral is "partial 16S ribosomal RNA". It matches the Rfam family "Bacterial small subunit ribosomal RNA", at positions 354 to 796 of the family's 1533-position model. The record is from RNAcentral.
GUGAGGAAUAUUGGUCAAUGGGCGAGAGCCUGAACCAGCCAAGUCGCGUGAAGGAAGAAGGAUCUAUGGUUCGUAAACUUCUUUUGCAGGGGAAUAAAGUGCAGGACGUGUCCUGUUUUGUAUGUACCCUGAGAAUAAGGAUCGGCUAACUCCGUGCCAGCAGCCGCGGUAAUACGGAGGAUCCGAGCGUUAUCCGGAUUUAUUGGGUUUAAAGGGUGCGUAGGUGGUUUGAUAAGUCAGCGGUGAAAGUUUGCAGCUUAACUGUAAAAAUGCCGUUGAAACUGUCUGACUUGAGUGUAAAUGAGGUAGGCGGAAUGCGUGGUGUAGCGGUGAAAUGCAUAGAUAUCACGCAGAACUCCGAUUGCGAAGGCAGCUUACUAAGCUACAACUGACACUGAAGCACGAAAGCGUGGGGAUCAAACAGGAUUAGAAACCCCGGUAGUCC